AACGAACGCUGGCGGCAGGCCUAACACAUGCAAGUCGAGCGAACCCUUCGGGGUUAGCGGCGGACGGGUUAGUAACGCGUGGGAAUAUACCCUUUGGUACGGAAUAGCCUCGGGGAAACUGAGAGUAAUACCGUAUGUGCCCUUCGGGGGAAAGAUUUAUCGCCAAAGGAUUAGCCCGCGUUGGAUUAGAUAGUUGGUGGGGUAAUGGCCUACCAAGUCUACGAUCCAUAGCUGGUUUGAGAGGAUGAUCAGCAACACUGGGACUGAGACACGGCCCAGACUCCUACGGGAGGCAGCAGUGGGGAAUCUUAGACAAUGGGCGCAAGCCUGAUCUAGCCAUGCCGCGUGGACGAUGAAGGCCUUAGGGUUAGUAAAGUCCUUUCAGAUGGGAAGAUAAUGACGGUACCAUCAGAAGAA
This 417-nucleotide ribosomal RNA is filed under the name uncultured bacterium. RNAcentral's name for it is "bacterial SSU rRNA". It matches the Rfam family "Bacterial small subunit ribosomal RNA", at positions 29 to 489 of the family's 1533-position model. The record is from RNAcentral.